GGCCUGCAUUCAGAUGGGUGGAAGGGCCAACGGCAGCGGCGGAAUUCCGAGGGCCGCGGGGAUCGACCGCCGGGCUGGGACGCGGAGUGAUCAAAGGGCCAGCUCAGGGGAACCUGAUGCAACCCUUCCCCAGACCACCCAUGCAGAGGCAACGGGCCACAGAAUGGAUGCCUAGGAGAGAGGAGCUCAAACUGGAAUACGGAGGGGAAUCAUCCGAACUGAACUUUUUCCUCAUUGGCAUCAGAGGAUACAUGGAGGACAAUGCACACACAUUCCCCUCCGAAGGAAGCAUGGUUCGGGCCAUUGGUAAUACCCUAAAAAGGGGAGCGGCUAGCUGGUAUGUGCAAUUACAUGCCAGACGCGACCCGUGCUUGAGGUCAGUGCCCCAAUUUCUAGCCGCACUGGAGAACCGAUUUAGAGACCCGCUGGAGCAAUUGAGGGCUCGCGACCAACUAAAAGGAAUUAAGCAGAGGGACAAGACGGUACCCGAGUACGCAGAAGAAUUCCUCCAUCUCGCGGAAAGGGUACCAGAGUGGUCCGAAGUGACCAAAGUGGAGAUAUUCAAAGAAGGACUGUGCCCCGAGGUAUUCAGUUGGGCGGCGCAUAGAGAUGACCCAGAGACGCUACAGGGUUGGAUUCAACUAGCAGGGCGCGUCGAAUCCACCCUGUCCCAAGUAAAGCGCUUCCGGAGCGGCGGCGGCAGCGGCCAGCAGAGACCGGCAGCGAGGGGUCGGGGAGAAACGAGGAAGCAGGAGCGACCCGGAGGGAGGCCAGGGAUCCCCUUCAAAGGAGACGACAACAGACCUAAGCCGGGAUGCUUUGUAUGUGGAAAGACGGGCCAUCGGGCGGCGGAAUGUUGGGCCCGGAAGGGAGAACCGCCCAAAGCCACAAAACCCACGCCAGCAGCCGGGAGACGAGCGGAGGAGGAGGUGCGAGCCCCAGAACCUCCGGAGCGGCUGAGUCGUGACGGAGGAAGCACAGAAGAAGAGGUCGGCGAAAGGGGGGGCGCCAUGUCAUGGGGCCAAUUCCCAGGGCUGAGUCUGCAAGCCCUGGAAUUGGAGCCAUAA
RNAcentral lists this long non-coding RNA (1067 nucleotides) under Anolis carolinensis (green anole). RNAcentral's name for it is "lncRNA (ENSACAG00000035598.1)". The record is from RNAcentral. Lineage: Eukaryota; Metazoa; Chordata; Lepidosauria; Squamata; Anolidae.